This 101-nucleotide non-coding RNA is filed under the name unclassified sequences. The record is from Rfam.
UCUGGUUUCUUGCUUUUCCAUCAAAAAGCAAGUGGUGCGGAUGGGACUCUCUCCCGCCUGGUUUCCAAUUUCCAGUUAAAGAAUUGGUGGCGAGCAACCUG